RNAcentral lists this long non-coding RNA (225 nucleotides) under Lathyrus oleraceus (garden pea). RNAcentral's name for it is "Pisum sativum (pea) long non-coding RNA (PSAT_LNC019466)". The record is from RNAcentral. Lineage: Eukaryota; Viridiplantae; Streptophyta; Magnoliopsida; Fabales; Fabaceae.
CGCGUGGUACCUUACCAUAUUUCGUAUUCUACUUAAGUGCACCGUACCUUACGAUGUCCUACAAUUCACUUAAGUGCACCAUACCUUACGGUGUUCCUUAUUUACUUUAUCUCUCAUCAAUUCGUCCUUUUGUGUGUGACCCUAUAGGUUUUCGCGGCAUUGGAAAUUAUAUUAAAUCACGUAUUUAACAUAAUAAACAGUGAGCGGUAUCUAGCAACACAUCAC